UCCAUCUUUUCAUCAGUGACCUUAAUGUACUUGUACAAAAGAUCAUCAAGACUUGGAAGAGCUUGUUGAGGUUUUGGCUGGUAAUGAGGUGCUUGCUGAUAAGGUCUAAAAUUUGAUUGUCCUCGAUUUUGAUGUUAGUAUCCGGGUGGAACCUGUACUUGUUGUUUCUGGAAGCUUUGAGAAAUCUCAGCACCAUUUGGGUUGUUCUAUUGAAAUCCAGGAUGUUUCUGUGCCAUUGGACUUCUAAAAGGAUAUUGUUUGUACCCGAUGGCAUUGAUUUGUUCAUCAUUUUGAUUGAUUGCUUGGCAUUCAUAAUUUAGAUGAUUCCCUCCACACAUGUCACAAGUCUCAGUCUGACUGGAUUGUUGAGUAUUCACCUGAAAAGAUACAACCUUUUGUACCAAUGAAACAAUCUGUUGCAUUAAUGUAUUUAAAGCAUCUAGCUGAUUUGCCGUGGCAGCCUUUUUGAUGAUUACAUGCUCAGAUGGCCAUUUGAUGGCAUUCUCAGAAAUUUCAUUCAGUAACUGCAAUGCUUCUUCUGUGGUCUUUCCCAUUAAGGAACCUACUGGGCUGCAUCUAUCA
This 582-nucleotide long non-coding RNA is filed under the name Nicotiana benthamiana. RNAcentral describes it as "long non-coding RNA (NBEN_LNC040354)". Lineage: Eukaryota; Viridiplantae; Streptophyta; Magnoliopsida; Solanales; Solanaceae. The record is from RNAcentral.